RNAcentral lists this transfer RNA (63 nucleotides) under Methanolinea sp. RNAcentral's name for it is "tRNA-OTHER". It matches the Rfam family "tRNA". Rfam says of the family: Transfer RNA (tRNA) molecules are approximately 80 nucleotides in length. Their secondary structure includes four short double-helical elements and three loops (D, anti-codon, and T loops). The record is from RNAcentral. Lineage: Archaea; Methanobacteriati; Methanobacteriota; Methanomicrobia; Methanomicrobiales; Methanoregulaceae.
GCCCCGGUAGGGUAGUGGAUAUCCUGGGANNUUCCGACCCGGGUUCGAAUCCCGGCUGGGGCG